RNAcentral lists this ribosomal RNA (198 nucleotides) under uncultured bacterium. Its description in RNAcentral is "partial 16S ribosomal RNA". It matches the Rfam family "Bacterial small subunit ribosomal RNA", at positions 328 to 539 of the family's 1533-position model. The record is from RNAcentral.
ACGCUCGACACCUACGUGAGGCAGCAGUGGGGGAUAUUGCACAAUGGGGGAAACCCUGAUGCAGCAACGCCGCGUGAAGGAAGAAGGUCUUCGGAUUGUAAACUUCUGUCCUCAGGGAAGAUAAUGACGGUACCUGAGGAGGAAGCUCCGGCUAACUACGUGCCUGCAGCCGCGGUAAUCUGAGCGGGCUGGCAAGGC